This 70-nucleotide transfer RNA is filed under the name Anolis sagrei (brown anole). RNAcentral's name for it is "tRNA-Ala". Lineage: Eukaryota; Metazoa; Chordata; Lepidosauria; Squamata; Anolidae. The record is from RNAcentral.
UAAGACUUGUGAAAUUUUAAUCCACAUCUCUUGAAUGCAACUCAAACACUUUCAUUAAGCCAAAGCCUUU